This 465-nucleotide ribosomal RNA is filed under the name uncultured bacterium. RNAcentral describes it as "partial 16S ribosomal RNA". It matches the Rfam family "Bacterial small subunit ribosomal RNA", at positions 338 to 795 of the family's 1533-position model. The record is from RNAcentral.
CCUACGGGGGGCAGCAGUGGGGAAUAUUGCGCAAUGGGCGAAAGCCUGACGCAGCGACGCCGCGUGAGGGAUGAAGGUCUUCGGAUCGUAAACCUCUGUCAGCAGGGAAGUACGGUCACUGUGCUAAUCAGCAGUGAAUUGACGGUACCUGCAAAGGAAGCACCGGCUAACUCCGUGCCAGCAGCCGCGGUAAUACGGGGGGUGCGAGCGUUAAUCGGAAUUACUGGGCGUAAAGCGCGCGUAGGCGGUAUGUCAAGUCAAGGGUGAAAUCCCCGCGCUCAACGUGGGAACUGCAUUUGAUACUGGGAAACUGGAGUGUGUGAGAGGAUAGUGGAAUUCGAGGUGUAGGAGUGAAAUGCGUAGAUAUCUGGAGGAACAUCAGUGGCGAAGGCGACUAUCUGGCACAUAACUGACGCUGAGGAGCGAAAGCGUGGGUAGCAAACAGGAUUAGAUACCCGUGUAGUC